Molecule: ribosomal RNA, 498 nt
Filed under: uncultured bacterium
Lineage: Bacteria
Description: partial 16S ribosomal RNA
Rfam family: Bacterial small subunit ribosomal RNA
Source: RNAcentral
GACGAACGCUGGCGGCGUGCCUAAUACAUGCAAGUCGAACGAGAGCAACCGGUGCUUGCACUGGUCAAUCUAGUGGCGAACGGGUGAGUAACACGUGGGUAACCUGCCCAUCAGAGGGGGAUAACAUCCGGAAACGGAUGCUAAAACCGCAUAGGUCUUCGAACCGCAUGGUUUGAAGAGGAAAAGAGGCGCAAGCUUCUGCUGAUGGAUGGACCCGCGGUGCAUUAGCUAGUUGGUGAGGUAACGGCUCACCAAGGCCGUGAUGCAUAGCCGACCUGAGAGGGGGAUCGGCCACAUUGGGACUGAGACACGGCCCAAACUCCUACGGGAGGCAGCAGUAGGGAAUCUUCCGCAAUGGACGCAAGUCUGACGGAGCAACGCCGCGUGAGUGAAGAAGGUUUUCGGAUCGUAAAACUCUGUUGUUAGAGAAGAACAAGUGCUAGAGUAACUGUUAGCGCCUUGACGGUAUCUAACCAGAAAGCCACGGCUAACUACGUG